RNAcentral lists this ribosomal RNA (378 nucleotides) under uncultured bacterium. RNAcentral's name for it is "bacterial SSU rRNA". It matches the Rfam family "Bacterial small subunit ribosomal RNA", at positions 523 to 898 of the family's 1533-position model. The record is from RNAcentral.
AUACGGAGGGGGCAAGCGUUGUUCGGAAUUACUGGGCGUAAAGGGCGUGUAGGCGGACGUUCAAGUUAGGGGUGAAAGGCCUGGGCUCAACCUGGGAACUGCCUUUAAAACUGAAUGUCUAGAGUACGGAAGAGGGUAGCGGAAUACCCAGUGUAGAGGUGAAAUUCGUAGAUAUUGGGUAGAACACCGGUGGCGAAGGCGGCUGCCUGGUCCGUAACUGACGCUGAUGCGCGAAAGCGUGGGGAGCAAACAGGAUUAGAUACCCUGGUAGGCCACGCCGUAAGCGAUGUGUGCUAGCCGUUGGGGCGCUUAGCGUCUCGGUGGCGUAAAGUUAACGCGUUAAGCACACCGCCUGGGGAGUACGGCCGCAAGGUUAAA